Molecule: long non-coding RNA, 1420 nt
Organism: Cyprinus carpio (common carp)
Lineage: Eukaryota; Metazoa; Chordata; Actinopteri; Cypriniformes; Cyprinidae
Source: RefSeq, a predicted model, not a curated record
UGUCUGCCUUGUAUGGGUGGAGACUACAAUAAAUAAAAAUAAAAAGGAAUAGGCUACAAAAAAGGAUCUAUGCCAGGGCGAGCAAAUGGCGGCCCCCAGAUCAUUUUUAUCUGGCCCUCCAACUGGUUUUUGAUGUUUAAAAACCCUCUCAAUCUGAUAUCAAAGUGCCCUCUGCGCAAAGGUUUAGCGCGUUCAUCAGCGGUGAGUUUAACAACACUCAACUGCAGGUAAAACGGCAUUCAGAGGUGAGUUUGACCAAAGCAACGCUCAACUGCAGGUAAAAGCAUUAAAAUGUGAGUUUAACAACGCUCCAAGGCGCGUGCAAGUAAGCAGUUUAAGCGUUUUAUUACAACCCAUUCUCACUCCUAAAGCGCCAAAAACUGACGCCUCUAGCGUCACUAUGAAGACGCCAAAGGCGCCCCUCGGCGUCGCUAUAUCGACGCACUAGGACCUACAUUGCUUUAAGUGGGAAACUUUUGGCGUCAGUACUCAGACGCGAAGGGCAUGAGAUGUUUAUCGCUAUGAAAUCACGUUCAAGAAGUCUCAUUCAGCGCACAUCGCGAUAUUUGCCAUCAGUUUACAUGUGCCACAGGUUGGCUGAAAAGACAUGAAGGAAGCAGUCAGCCCAGUCGUGUUUGUGGAGAGGUAUUCCUUCAGAAAUGGAGAAGAUAGAAAGCUGCGGAGGCAGACAUUUGCAGCAGAUUGUUUGCAGAUAACGCUGUACUCCAUCAUGCACAAGGACUCACCUCUUUAACUCUUUAUCCCCCACACACACAGAAAUGGUCCCUGGAUCAGUGUUUAGACUUUGCAGUGGUUUGAUUUUUGCAGAAAAUGCAACUUUGUUUUAAUUAUAAGCUUAUAAUGAAUACAUUUUGACCUUCCAGCAGCCCAUAUACUGUAUACAGAACCAGUGAUGAAAACAAUAGUUGAAAAUAGUAUUUUCGUAUUGAUAAAGCAUUGUGUUCUCUUUUUCAAGCUUCAUACAGUAAACUUUACUUCUGGUGCUUUUAUCAUAAAAAAAGCAUCAGUUCUCAUCAGGAGUUUUAGUAAAGGACAUAUUCAUGCACAGCCAUCCCCUAGUUCCAGUCAUGAAGCGAAUGAUGUUAUUGUCAGAUUUAUAUUUCUGCAUUUUUAUGUAGCAGGUGUUUGUUUUCCUGAACACUUUAUUUUUCUUCCAUUGUUCGGACAAUCAAUGUUUAUUUGAUGCUGUGCUGAUAGAGUUUUAUAGAUAAUAUUGCACACUUGACAUGCAUGUCUUCAUGGUGUUAUUUUCUGAGUUUGAAACAGUGUGUUGUAUCACUUUUUGGUCAAUUUAACUUUUAAGAAAAUUGAUUUUUCCAGUGUUCUCUGAAAGACUGUAUCUGUAUAUACUGUAUUUACUGUUUUGUUUUUUAAUAAAAGUAUUUGCAUAAUGAAAAUA